This 651-nucleotide ribosomal RNA is filed under the name uncultured bacterium. Its description in RNAcentral is "bacterial SSU rRNA". It matches the Rfam family "Bacterial small subunit ribosomal RNA", at positions 8 to 625 of the family's 1533-position model. The record is from RNAcentral.
AGAGUUUGAUCCUGGCUCAGAACGAACGCUGGCGGCGCGUUUAACGCAUGCAAGUCGAACGGUAGAGCGGUGCUUGCACCGCUUGAGAGUGCCGAACGGGUGAGUAACACGUAGGUAAUCUACAUCUGGGGACGGGGAUGGCCUGUGGAAACACAGGGUAAUACCGGAUACGCCCAGCGCUCGAUUAAGCAGGACCGGGACGAGAGAAGAGGUUUCGGAGUGUUUAAUUGAGUGCUGGGGAAAAGCGCUUUGGCGCUGUCCUGAGAUGAGCCUGCGUCCGAUUAGUUAGUUGGUGAGGUAACGGCUCACCAAGGCGAUGAUCGGUAGCCGAACUGAGAGGUUGAUCGGCCACAUUGGGACUGAGACACGGCCCAGACUCCUACGGGAGGCAGCAGUGGGGAAUAUUGCGCAAUGGGGGGAACCCUGACGCAGCAACGCCGCGUGAAGGAAGAAGGCCUUCGGGUUGUAAACUUUUUUGAUUGGGGAAGAAAAAAAUGACGGUACCCAAGGAACAAGCCACGGCUAACUACGUGCCAGCAGCCGCGGUAAUACGUAGGUGGCGAGCGUUGUCCGGAAUUACUGGGUGUAAAGGGCGUGUAGGCGGGAUUGUAAGUCAGAUGUGAAAUUCCAGGGCUUAACUCUGGAGGUGCA